This 450-nucleotide ribosomal RNA is filed under the name uncultured bacterium. Its description in RNAcentral is "partial 16S ribosomal RNA". It matches the Rfam family "Bacterial small subunit ribosomal RNA", at positions 354 to 796 of the family's 1533-position model. The record is from RNAcentral.
GUGGGGAAUUUUGGACAAUGGGCGCAAGCCUGAUCCAGCAAUGCCGCGUGCAGGAAGAAGGCCUUCGGGUUGUAAACUGCUUUUGUACGGAACGAAACGGUCCGGGUUAAUACCCUGGGCUAAUGACGGUACCGUAAGAAUAAGCACCGGCUAACUACGUGCCAGCAGCCGCGGUAAUACGUAGGGUGCAAGCGUUAAUCGGAAUUACUGGGCGUAAAGCGCGCGCAGGCGGUUUUGUAAGACAGGCGUGAAAUCCCCGGGCUCAACCUGGGAAUUGCGCUUGUGACUGCAAGGCUGGAGUGCGGCAGAGGGGGAUGGAAUUCCGCGUGUAGCAGUGAAAUGCGUAGAUAUGCGGAGGAACACCGAUGGCGAAGGCAAUCCCCUGGGCCUGCACUGACGCUCAUGCACGAAAGCGUGGGGAGCAAACAGGAUUAGAAACCCGGGUAGUCC